RNAcentral lists this ribosomal RNA (1389 nucleotides) under Triticum aestivum (bread wheat). RNAcentral's name for it is "partial small subunit ribosomal RNA". Lineage: Eukaryota; Viridiplantae; Streptophyta; Magnoliopsida; Poales; Poaceae. The record is from RNAcentral.
AUGGCGAUGCUUCGUGAUGUUUGGAUGCCAAGCAGCCAAUGCUAUUUCACAGGGCCACUUUGGCCGUCUUUUGAGGCGGAAAAUUUUGAGCUAAAGCCUGGUCUUAUUGCUUUGGUUCAACAACAUCAGUUUGGAGGGUUGCCUAAUGAAGAUCCUUACGAGCACUUACACCGAGUCAUGGAGUAUUCAGAUACAGUCAAGUACCAUGGAGUUCCUCAAGAUGCAAUCAUGUGCAGGUUGUUCACAUUCUCCCUCCGUGAUGAUGCUCGUGCUUGGUAUCGAUCCUUGCCAUCAAGGUUAUACAGUUGGAAUGAGAUAUCGCGAGCUUUCUUGGAUAAAUAUUUCCCACUACACAAGCAGUCCGCAAUUCGAGAUGAGAUCUUCAAUUUCGUUCAGCGUGAAGGCGAGAGCUUGUAUGAUGCUUGGGAGAGAUACAAAGCCUUAUUCAGGAGAUGUCCUAAUCAUGGGCUCGAGAGAUGGUUAGAGCUGCAGAUAUUCUAUAGAGGAUUGACUUCGGACACUCGAGCUUACGUCGACAUGGUAGUGGGUGGAGCUAUUACAAACAAGACACUUGAUGAAGCUUUUCUGCUGAUUGAGAGCAUAGCUUUCCACCAACUUCAGUGGUACAAUAAGAAGCCCACAUCUGAUUCAUUGGUUUGCUUGCAACAAAUCACUAUACCUCAACCACCAAUUCUUACACAAAAGCCCGAGCCUCUAUCUCAGUGUGACAAGGUUGAGCUUGCAUGGAUUAUAUUUGAUGAUGAUGACACCAUUCUAGUUGACACACACGCUACAGAUCAUCUGGAUACUAGUGUUGGAGAUUCAGUUUUGCAUUGUGAUGAUUCUUCCAUGGAUGAGCCAAAGCCGCAGUUUGUUGCUUUUGAUAUUGAGGAGUCACCUUUAGUUGAUAUUGAUCAUGUGCUUCUAGAGCCAGAUAUGGAGAAGUUCGCCUUUUAUGAUGUUAGCCGCAUUGAUUCUUCAACACUUGAGCCUGAGAGGGAGAGCUUCAUGGUUGAUUAUGGUGAGGUGGAUUCAGAUGUCAAGGAGUCAUGCUCUAUUUCACUUGUUGACACGAGUCCGGUGGAAAUUUCUACUACCACACCUCACUUGGUAUCUUCAAUGGAGGUAGUCCUGAAGCUUCUUCCUAACUAUCUCAGGUAUGAUCUCAGCUUUCUCGACAAGAUAUGCCAUAUCAUGGAUACUGCCUAUGCACCAUGUGAUUUAUUGAUGAUAUCUAUUUAUCAUAUGCUCAAUAGAUAUGCUUAUGUGAUAGGAUACUCUAUUGAUGACUUAGAGGGCAUUGUUCCUAUCAUUUGUAUUGGCUUGUUUGUUGAGUGUUCUUUCAGGUUUACACUUGUGCACCAUUCAUUACGGGCUGACCAAGUUUGA